AUGUGCCUACGGGGCGCAGCAGUGGGGAAUAUUGCACAAUGGGGGAAACCCUGAUGCAGCGACGCCGCGUGAGUGAGGAAGUAUUUCGGUAUGUAAAGCUCUAUCAGCAGGGAAGAAAAAAUGACGGUACCUGACUAAGAAGCACCGGCUAAAUACGUGCCAGCAGCCGCGGUAAUACGUAUGGUGCAAGCGUUAUCCGGAUUUACUGGGUGUAAAGGGAGCGCAGGCGGUACGGCAAGUCUGAUGUGAAAGCCCGGGGCGCAAGCCCGGUACUGAAUUGGAAACUAC
RNAcentral lists this ribosomal RNA (288 nucleotides) under uncultured bacterium. RNAcentral's name for it is "partial 16S ribosomal RNA". It matches the Rfam family "Bacterial small subunit ribosomal RNA", at positions 333 to 636 of the family's 1533-position model. The record is from RNAcentral.